UUUAAUUCACAUUUUUUUUUCAUUGAAAGUGAAAUAUUAUUAAAUUCGGAGAAAAACAUUUACAUCAGAAGCAAGAGUAUUGAACAACCACUCCGGUUCAAAGCUAUCUCAGGUAUGAAGACUCUCCAUUCGAUGUGCUGCCCUAUUACAAACUUGGAGAGCAAAAAUGAACUCGACCAACCUCGGUUGUUAUUUUAUACGUUAAAUAUCCAAGAGAUUACCUUCAAUGACAACGUUGGCUUGUAUAAUCCCAUUUAUCAUAUCCACCAAAGUUUUUUGAAUCCAUUUGAAGCUGCGCACUACCUGAAAACCUUUCUCUACACAAGCCCCCAAAAGUAUUGACAAAUAGGAUCUAUGUAAUUAUCAAACUUUAC
Molecule: long non-coding RNA, 374 nt
Filed under: Malus domestica (apple)
Lineage: Eukaryota; Viridiplantae; Streptophyta; Magnoliopsida; Rosales; Rosaceae
Description: long non-coding RNA (MDOM_LNC017220)
Source: RNAcentral